Molecule: non-coding RNA, 915 nt
Organism: Coturnix japonica (Japanese quail)
Lineage: Eukaryota; Metazoa; Chordata; Aves; Galliformes; Phasianidae
Source: RefSeq, a predicted model, not a curated record
CACUGCUGCUCCACUAAUAACAAGGAAGGCCGGGAAAGGGUGCGGGGCAUUCCCACCUGGUUUAAUUGCCACCAGGUUUAAUUGCUGCCUCACGUAAUUACGGACAAGGUAGCUCAGCUGUAGUUGGUUGUGAGGUCCUGAUUGGAAGGGCUUCUAAAAAGAGACUGGGGAUAAAAGAGGGUCAUUUGGCCCCAGCUGGUACUUCUGCUCCUGUUUUCUUCUCAGCUUUUCAAUCUGGAAGCCCUUGGAUGGCAAACUGUGUUUGACCAGGACUGUUAUUUGCACAUUCUGCUUUUGAAGAGAUUUGCUUUUCAUUGAGAGGACUGUAAAACAUGGGUGACAACCGGUGCAGUAAGCAGCUGAUGUGGAAGUGGAUCCCUUGCUGGUGUUGGAGAGUGGCCAGAGAGCUUCAGAGAGGAGUAGAAGCUUUGGAUGCAGAGCACACAUCUUCUACCUGCUGGGCUGGGGAUGCUGACCAAGCGCUGGGCUCCUGCCCUUCUACUGAGCAGGAGGGUUGUGCUGGAUCUUGAGCCACCCCAUGUCCUCUUGUAGGGCAGCACCUCUGGUGGUGAGUUACCUCAUAGCAGCUGUGAGUGUUUGGAGUAUUUCUUGGGCAAGAAAACAUCCCCAGAAUACAUAUCAUCCCUUUUUGUUGUAUGCUGCGUAAUGGGAAUGUAACUUAUUGCCACUGGAGAGUGUUUGGCAGCUACCAUCCAUCCUAGAUUCCAAUUGACUCUGCUUGCGCUUAAACAAAAGUAAAGGAUGUACAGGCAAACAAUGAUUAUAAUUGGAACAACAAGAGGGGUAUUUUGAUUAAUCACAGUUUGAAUAUCAACUGGGCGUAAUGCAGGUUUCCCCUGUAUAGACAGAAGCCCCACAUUGUGUGCCUGUCUCACGUUUACAGCAGCUGAAUAA